UACGGGGGGGGCAAGCGUUGUUCGGAAUUACUGGGCGUAAAGGGUUUGUAGGUGGCCUGCUAAGUCAGACGUGAAAUCCCUCAGCUUAACUGGGGAACUGCGUCUGAGACUGGUAGGCUCGAGGACAGGAGAGGAACGCGGAAUUCCAGGUGUAGCGGUGAAAUGCGUAGAUAUCUGGAGGAACACCGGUGGCGAAGGCGGCGUUCUGGACUGGUUCUGACACUGAAAAACGAAAGCCAGGGGAGCAAACGGG
RNAcentral lists this ribosomal RNA (253 nucleotides) under uncultured bacterium. RNAcentral describes it as "partial 16S ribosomal RNA". It matches the Rfam family "Bacterial small subunit ribosomal RNA", at positions 524 to 776 of the family's 1533-position model. The record is from RNAcentral.